Non-coding RNA from Musa acuminata subsp. malaccensis (wild Malaysian banana), 3196 nucleotides. NCBI's taxonomy places the organism in Eukaryota, Viridiplantae, Streptophyta, Magnoliopsida, Zingiberales, Musaceae. The record is from RefSeq and is a predicted model, not a curated record.
GUAGAGCUGCGUUGCCCCCUCUGGUGAGUAGAACUCUCAUAUAGCCCAACAAAUAAGCACUUGGCCAAACCCACCAAUCUGUGUCGCAAAGAGGUUCAACAAAUGGAAGGCGGGCGAGAGCAGUGGCAUAACACGAGUCUCAGGUGAGGGUGUUCAGUGUUCUCCUUCAGAGUUGACACACAAAAGGGGAGGAAAAGAAAGGUCGGGGGAUGGCAAUGACAUUAAUUAGGUGGCCGAGCCUUCUCUCAACUCAUGCUGUUCUUUGUUGUUGGCUUGACCCUGUGCUGUCUCUCCCUCUCCCUAUAUAUGAGAGGUUGAUGGAGCCUCCUUGCGAAAACCAGUAACCACCAUGCUUAUUUUAAUUAGCUUCAUCAUUUCGAUUGCCAUGCCGGACAAGUGUCAGUGCCUGUGUUCUGCCCUCUUGCACUUCCAUUCGCUUCGCGUUCUCUCCCUCCUACAGGUCAGUUCCCAAUGCAUUGCAGUAAAAUAAUGUACACGACUGGGAAUGGAGAGGGAAUGAGAAGAGGCGAGCAGAGUGUGGUACGCUGCUUGCUACCUGGGCAGUUCCUUGUAGUACUUCAUAUUAUUACCCUAUGGAAGUCACUGGGUGGGGAUCGAAUGGGGAAGAGUGAGGGACCAUGCCAAUAGCAUUGGGAUCAGACACUGCAUAAGAGGCUGUCUGUCCCUGUUGGGGGAAGGGUGGUGGGGGCAACCAAUGGCCUGCUUGGGUUGAACCAGACCAGAGCAGGGCACUGAUGCUGGCCACUUGAGCCCCAUUUGGUCAUAGGGAAGCCUUCUGCUUGUGCCACAUAGUAAUAGUUGUUUAAUGAUUUGCAGCGGGAGAGCACUCAUGGUGUGCUCUUGGGAGGGGAAGAAGCCAUCUCCGUGCCUCGGUUGGGGUACACAUGGGGGGUGUGGGGUGACCUAAACUACACUUCCCAUUAUUGUGUUGAACAAGCAUGCUCAGGAACAUGGAUGUGGCUGUCUAGUUUGAACCAGAUUCUAAAGAACCGAAUUAUAACCUCAACAACAACUCCUUACAAACUUCAUCUCCUGAGAUGAAGAUGGUUCCAUGCACCCAUGGCGAGUUUGAUAAUGGACUGGCUUUGAGGACAUUACAGCACUGCAUUGUCCCAUUCUCGUUCCUUUUCAGGAUCUGAUAAAGAAGGUGAUGGAGACGAGGGGCUUAGAGACGUCAUCGGCAUUGGUUUCAGCUUCCUCUUUGAGCAGGAUGAAAGAAAUGCAGUGGAGACCUCAACAAAGUGGCCCCUCUCUGUCACCGACCUUGAAUCAAAUUGGUGCAGAUGGCAAGCCUCAAAGGUGUUUGAUUCUUUUGAGAUGGUGCCAAUCCCGGCCGGUUGUCUCUCCAUGGUGCUGCCUCUCAGGGGAAUUAUGUGGAAGACAUGAUUUUAAAUGGAUUAGGUGGAUGAAGCCAAUUGUCUCUUCUAACAAAGAUGCUAAUCCUGCCAGUAAUGGAUGCUAGUUUGCCACAAAGUGUUAAUUAUCUUCUCCUCAUCUUUUUUCCUUUAGAUCUUUCUAGAUGUAUUUGUUUUUUUGUUGCUUAAUGAUAUUAUAUAAUGCUAACCAUCCACUUAUCUUAAAAAAAGAUUAAUAAUCAUUUUUAUUUUUCAAUAGAACAGUAGAACAGUAAGAUGUUAGUAAACAAAACAGAUGCAGGAACAUGUGUGAUAAGACACUUCUGAUGUAUCAAUAAAAUUCAUUGAAUCCAUGGAUUUAUUAUUGGAAUGUCUAGUGUGAAUUAAAUUUUACAAUUUCACGAUCUCUAUGUACUUGACACUUCUAUUUUCAUUACUGAUCUUCUCAUAACAAGUGCAAGCUUCUUUUAGUGACAAAAAGUUAGAGUAAAAUAAACAGUCAUAAUUUUUGAAAUUGAAAAACAUAUAAAUAUUGGCACUUUAUAUUGUCACUUCAAACUAUUUUUGGGUGACAUAAGAUGGAUCUUAUAUUUUUGGUAGGAGAUGAGAAGUCUUAGUUUGCUUCUUCAUGAUCCAUGGCUAAGUUCAAGCUUUAUGUAGUAGGACACACCACAUAAGUGUAAGGCUCAAUUCUACAUGCCAAACAACCUCAUUUUUGUUUGAUUGCGUCCGUUGUUGUAUGGCAUGUCACGCCAAUGUACAUGUUUGAUGGUGACUUCUACAAUAUUAGCUUAAGUUAAAUGCUUAAAAUCUCUUAAUAAUUUAAUAUCAAUGUACAUGCUUAAGUUAAAUGUGCAUAGUGUGCAUGUUUGAUGGUGAUCAACUUCUAAAAGAUUGGCUUAAUUAAAUGCUUAAGUUCUCUGCAUAUUGAUAUCAAUGAAAUCACUCCACUAGAAAUCAUGUUAGGCAUAUCACAACACAGCUGUUAUAGUGCUCUAUACUGAGAUGUAAAGGCAACGAGCUUCUACAUUUUCCCAAGCCAACAAAUAAAAUAUACGGAAAAGAUAUGGAUGAACUUAACAAACAACAUGUUCUACAUAAGGAAACAAACAUUAGGCAUAAAGAGAAAGAUAAGUGAACCAUCUCUGUUGUUCCAAGGAUGUGAUAACCUACUCCAUUGGAUCAUAGGUUCAGACUUCAACAUGAAGUCAAUGUGGUCUUAGAGAAAGCUAUAUUAGCCCGCAGUUUUGUGAUGCAUGCAUGUAAACUUAGAAAAGCAUUACCUUUCUGUAUUAACAAUGUCAACAGAGUUUUCUUCCUUGAUCACAAAUUUGAAAGAGAUGCAUUAUAUAGUACCAGUGUUCUUCACCCUACUACGAGUACUUAUUUCUUAGCGUUUGGUUGGCAAGCAGUCAAUUGCAUGUACAUGCAAUUUUCUUAAAGAAAACAUGGUAUGUUCGGAGAACAGAGUUCAGAGAAAGGUUUGUCAUUGCUAAGGUUUCAAGUAGGGUUACAUUUCUGUUGCUAUUAUGUGACGUUUCUUUCUUUCUUUGUGUUUACGUUAGUUGGAAUAUGCUAAAGUAUGACAAUGAUAUAUAGCGACAUAGCUUACUUCUCCUGCUUCAGAACUCAUCUUGUUGCAUGUAGUUACCAUGAGAGAUAAAAGAAAGAGUGAGAUAAAGCUAGUCUAACAGGCAUAAGGGCAUGAGUGUAGAUCAUAAUUACUGUAGUUUUAGCUCACCAAGAGAAGAGCCAAUGAAGAAUGAAGCGGUUCAAAGAAGGAAGAGAAGUCAGACUUGCAUAAGAUGGACAGAAGAGGG